Molecule: ribosomal RNA, 408 nt
Filed under: uncultured Syntrophomonadaceae bacterium
Lineage: Bacteria; Bacillati; Bacillota; Clostridia; Eubacteriales; Syntrophomonadaceae
Description: bacterial SSU rRNA
Rfam family: Bacterial small subunit ribosomal RNA
Source: RNAcentral
GAAUAUUGCGCAAUGGGGGAAACCCUGACGCAGCGACGCCGCGUGAGCGAAGAAGGCCUUAGGGUUGUAAAGCUCUGUUGUAAGGGAAGAACGGCAGCAGGAGUAAUAUGCCGGCUGCAUGACGGUACCUUACGAGGAAGCCCCGGCUAACUACGUGCCAGCAGCCGCGGUAAGACGUAGGGGGCGAGCGUUGUCCGGAAUUACUGGGCGUAAAGAGCACGUAGGCGGGUAUUUAAGUCAGGUGUGAAAGACCGCAGCUUAACUGCGGGGUUGCAUUUGAAACUGGGUAUCUUGAGGGCAGGAGAGGGCAGUGGAAUUCCUGGUGUAGCGGUGAAAUGCGUAGAAAUCAGGAGGAACACCAGUGGCGAAGGCGGCUGUCUGGACUGACCCUGACGCUGAGGUGCGAAG